This is a long non-coding RNA of Lolium perenne, 1329 nucleotides long. RefSeq lists it as uncharacterized. The record is from RefSeq and is a predicted model, not a curated record. NCBI's taxonomy places the organism in Eukaryota, Viridiplantae, Streptophyta, Magnoliopsida, Poales, Poaceae.
AGCGGUUUGUGGUGUGUUCCUCAACGAGAGAGAGCGGCCGAGAGGGGAACGCCGGCGAGCGGCACCCGCUGUGCAUCAGGCAGCCAACACCGCGGCGCUGCUUCACGUCCCGGAGCGCGUGCGUCACGUGCCGGCCGGCAAGGCUAAGGAGGAGAUGUGAGCUGCGCGCGCAAGGGGGGGCACGACUUGUAUGAGAUGUGGGCAUAGCGUGCGAUGGUAGGAUCCAGCAAUCUGGACCGUUAGAUGUGGAACAUGUGGUACAGAUCGGAUUAUUGGAUCUGGUGGAACAUUUUUGUAUACAAGCCCCCGUUAUCCUCUCUAUUUCUGCAUCUUCCUGUACCAUCACGUUUUAGUCGACCCUGUUCCCACAUCAGCGAAGCCGGCGGCGAUGGCGGCGGCUCCAGAUGUUGUAUCAAUCCAUCCCCACCUGGUCCCGAUGUGUAUUGAGGAAGACAGCUCCAUCACCCCUUCUCUCAUGUGGCGACAAUGGCGUCCUAGCGAUGGUGGCUACAGGGCGUCAAGCCAACUUGGUCCGCCCCUAGAUCUUGCUGGUAGAUCCUCUUCCCCGCGCAACAAGAUCCCGAUCCACAUCCGCACGGCUGCGAGAUAGACUUUUCAGACUGGGUGGAGGACUAUCUGGAGAAACAAAGAAACCCACCUCCCCUCGCAGAUCAAGCCUGGAAAAUGGAAAUGUUAGUGGGUUGGCUUUGCCAUUCAAGAAAUAUGAAAACUUCAGCCCACAGGGUCACACGACGACAAGGAAAUUAGCCAUAGCAUACAUGGAUCAGCAUCACAGGUUAAUGGUGCAUGCUCCUAGGAAGGGUCAUCACAAGAAAAUAAGGAAAGCCGCAGCUUACUCCAAUCGUCAGCACAUAAACAUGAAGAAUACUGUUGUCCUGAAAACUUGAUAUUGCACAAAGGUGAUGAUAUGAUGGGAUUCACCUGCUGGAGAGGUGCACACAAAUUAUGGGGUUGAGACCAGAGCAAGGAAGCGGAUGAGGCAAGAGUCCGCAGCUGGGACACGGCGAAGCGGAAGAAGGGUGGAGGCUUAAAGAAAUCUCUACAGAAGAAGAGGAGUGCAGAGCAGGAGGCCCGGCAUCGUAUUCACACUUGCAUCUCUAGUGUAUCAUGACAUUUUGUUUAUCCAGAUGUAUGUGAUCUUGUAUUAGAUGAUUGGCUGAAAUUUAGCUAUAUACGCAAACAGUAAAGUCUUCUUGUGAGCAAAAGCGAGUUCUGUAUGCAUGUCACUGAUUGUAGUUACAAAAUCAGAGAAGCAGUUUACUAGUUUGUGAGAUGGACCAGUAGGCCAGCUGAGAUGGGCAUUCCACA